RNAcentral lists this ribosomal RNA (460 nucleotides) under uncultured bacterium. Its description in RNAcentral is "partial 16S ribosomal RNA". It matches the Rfam family "Bacterial small subunit ribosomal RNA", at positions 338 to 795 of the family's 1533-position model. The record is from RNAcentral.
CCUACGGGUGGCAGCAGUGAGGAAUAUUGGUCAAUGGACGCAAGUCUGAACCAGCCAUGCCGCGUGCAGGAAGACGGCUCUAUGAGUUGUAAACUGCUUUUGUACGAGGGUAAACGCAGAUACGCGUAUCUGUCUGAAAGUAUCGUACGAAUAAGGAUCGGCUAACUCCGUGCCAGCAGCCGCGGUAAUACGGAGGAUUCAAGCGUUAUCCGGAUUUAUUGGGUUUAAAGGGUGCGUAGGCGGUCGGAUAAGUUAGAGGUGAAAUCCCGAGGCUCAACUUCGGAAUUGCAUCUGAUACUGUUCGUCUAGAGAGUAGUUGCGGUAGGCGGAAUGUAUGGUGUAGCGGUGAAAUGCUUAGAGAUCACACAGAACACCGAUUGCGAAGGCAGCUUACCAAGCUACUUCUGACGUUGAGGCACGAAAGCGUGGGGAGCAAACAGGAUUAGAUACCCGUGUAGUC